Passer domesticus (house sparrow) is the source of this 1172-nucleotide long non-coding RNA. RefSeq lists it as uncharacterized. Lineage: Eukaryota; Metazoa; Chordata; Aves; Passeriformes; Passeridae. The transcript is spliced from 2 exons. The record is from RefSeq and is a predicted model, not a curated record.
GCUGAGGGCACUGGGUCUGUUCAGCCUGGAGGAGACUGAGGGGAGGCCUCACUGCAGUUACAGCUUCCUUGUGAGGGGAAGAGGAGGGGCAGGCACUGAUCUCUGCUCUGUCGUGACCAGAGACAGGACCUGAGGGAAUGGCCUGAGUUGUAUCAGGAAAGGUUUAGGUUGGAUAAUAGGAAAAAAGUUUUUCCCCCGAGGGUGUUUGGGCAUUGGAAUGGGCUCCCCAGGAAAGUGGUCACAGCACCAAGCCUGACAGAGUUCAAGGAAUGUUUGGACAAUGCUCUUGGGCAUCGAUGAGGUAUUUGAGGCAGACCUAUGCAGUGCCAGGAGUUGGGUUUUGAUGGUCCUUGCCAGUCCCAACUCAAGAUAUUCUAUGAUUCUAAGAUGUAAGAUGUCCUUUGUGACAUCUUUCAAGCACCUUUAAAUAGAUUUGUUGGGAGCAACUGCAGCCAGCGCUUGACUACCGCAAACUGUAGGUAGUUAUCAGAGUCCUACGCUAUUAGAAUUAUCCAUCAGUGAAUGAACUGAAAGGCAUACACACCACUCUCCUGGGGGAAGAGAAAAAUGUAAGUAUGCUGGCUGCUGAAAAAUUUCAACUGAAAAAUCAGGGUUGGGAGUAUAUGGGAACAACACAAUUCUGAGGUACACUUAAUGUGGUGAAAUCUGGAAUGCACCAAGACAGGUAUGUAGUUAAAACCAUCAGAAACUGCUAUGCAGGGUCUGAGGAAAGCACUUUCAAACAUAUAUGCAAAAAAAAAUUGAUACAUGGACUAAAUAGACAUUGCUUUAUUAUAACAACUAUAUUAAAAAUAAAUUCCUAUGUAUUUCUUCAACCUAGUUUUCACAGGAUGUGUUUCUUUACAUUAGCUGAUUGACUUUUAGUGUUAUUUGAUACUUUAUUUAUAAUGGUCUGUCAAGAGGUAAUUAUUAGUAGUCAAAUUUGAUGCUGGAAGAUCAAGUUCAAUUCCUUUCUUAUUCAAUCUUGGAAGUUGUAUUUAAAAAAAAAUUCACACAUGCAGAAACUAGCACUAUGCUUGUGCUCCAGAGCUUAUUGGACGAACACCCAUCAGUGAUGAGGUGAGAAUGUGCAUGACACUACACUGUAAAAUAAUCUUUCCAUUGUUUUACCAUUUGAAAUAUAGAUACGCCAUUUUCCAACAGUGAGAGUU